AAAACAAGCCGUUCUAUCGCUCUCUGUUCGUGACAGGGGGAGGAAAGUCCGGACAACAUAGAGCGCCACACUUCCUAACGGGAAGGUCUUUGGUAAGUAAUUGCCGGGGAACAGAUAGUGCCACAGAAAACUAUACCGCCCACUGGCUAAACUCAAGGAAUCGCAUCAUUUAGCAAACCAAUAAAAUUGGAACUUGUUUGAAUGGCUUUCUGGAGUUUGGCUAAGGGUAAGGGUGAAAAUGUGAGGUAAGAGCUCACAAUAAGUGCUGGCGACAGUCUUAUGGGUAAACCUUGUGGGUUGAAAGGCCAUGUAUACGGAUUUAUAAAUCUUCGUGAUUUAUGAAAGAGCUGCUCGCUCCAUUCCGCGGGUAGGCCGCUCGAGGCAAUCAGUGAUGGUUGUCCCAGAUAAAUGAUAGAAUCCCGACGUAAGUCGGGAACAGAAUCCGGCUUACAGGCUUGUUUUUAUU
Molecule: RNase P RNA, 466 nt
Filed under: Bacteroidota bacterium
Lineage: Bacteria; Pseudomonadati; Bacteroidota
Description: Bacteroidetes bacterium (activated sludge metagenome) RNase P RNA component class A
Rfam family: Bacterial RNase P class A
About the family: Ribonuclease P (RNase P) is a ubiquitous endoribonuclease, found in archaea, bacteria and eukarya as well as chloroplasts and mitochondria. Its best characterised activity is the generation of mature 5'-ends of tRNAs by cleaving the 5'-leader elements of precursor-tRNAs.
Source: RNAcentral